Molecule: ribosomal RNA, 1700 nt
Filed under: Cynoglossus nanhaiensis
Lineage: Eukaryota; Metazoa; Chordata; Actinopteri; Pleuronectiformes; Cynoglossidae
Description: 16S ribosomal RNA
Rfam family: Bacterial large subunit ribosomal RNA (bases 95-1588)
Source: RNAcentral
CACCGACUAACUAGUCCAUCAAAUUAAGACCAAAACCCAAACACAUAACCCCUAAUAAAUUUAACAAUACUAACUAAAACAUUCUGCCCCUUAGUAAAGGAGAUUGAACAGGAAUUUAGGAACUACAAAGUAAGUACCGCAAGGGAACGUUGAAAUAGAGAUGAAAAAGCCCAGUAAAGAAAAACAAAGCAGAGACACAACCUUGUACCUUUUGCAUCAUGAUUUAGCAAGCAAGUUUUAGGCAAGAAGAGCCUUAGUCCAACAAGCCCGAAACUAGAUGAGCUACUCCGAGCCAGCAUAAUAAUUUAGUGCCAACCCGUCCCUGUAGCAAAAGUUGUGGGAAGAGCUCCGAGUAGAGGUGACAAACCUAUCGAAUCUAGUAAUAGCUGGUUUUCUGAGAAAUAGAUACUAGUUUAGCCUUUAGAACUCCCCGCCCCCCGCACCCAGCAAUUUAAUUUACUAUUAAAACUAAAAAGGAUAACGAGAGACCUAAAGAGUUAGUCAAACGAGUUUCAGCCCGCUUGACUAGAGCAACAACUCCCGCUAGCAGGGUAAAGAUCAUAACACUUAAGGUUAAAUACUAAUGUGGGCCUAAAAGCAGCCACCAUACUAAAAAGCGUCAAAGCUUAAGUACACUACCUCCAAUAAUAAUGUAAAUUACUCUCAACCCGCUACUUAUUAUAUCAGAAUAUCUUAUUAAACAAUAAGAGAAACUAUGCUAAUAUUAGUAAUAAGAGGCCAGACCCUCUCCUCGCACAAGUGUAACUCGCAAUGGACCCCCCACCGAGAAAUAACGACCCUAAAAGAAUAGAAGGUAAAGAGCUUAACAUCAAAUACCAGAAAAUCCCCCUAACCUAAUCGUUACCCCCACACUGGAGUGCCAUCGAGGAAAGAUAAAAAGGGAGAGAAGGAACUCGGCAAACUACAAACCCCGCCUGUUUACCAAAAACACCGCCUCUUGAUAUGACCAUAUAAGAGGUCGAACCUGCCCAAUGACAACUGAUUUAAUGGCCGCAGUAUUUUGACUGUGCUAAGGUAGCGUAAUCAUUUGCCCCUUAAAUGAGGGCCAGUAUGAAUGGUUUGACGAGGGUUUAACUGUCUCCUCUCCCCCAUCAAUGAAAUUGAUCUCUCCGUGCAAAAGCAGAGAUAAACCUAUAAGACGAGAAGACCCUGUGGAGCUUAAGAUAAAGCUUUAGACCCCGCCAAAGAACCUAAAUAUAGAAUAAAGCCAAAAGUAACUAAACACUAUCUUCAGUUGGGGCGACUGCGGAACAAACAAAACUCCCGCGAAGAAUGAGAGAACCCACCUCCCAAACCCUAGAACCACCCUUCAAAGUAAUAGAACCUCUAACUUUUCCUGAUCCGACCAGUUGAUCAACGAAUAAAGUUACCCCAGGGAUAACAGCGCAAUCCCCUUUUAGAGCUCCUAUCGAAAAGGGGGUUUACGACCUCGAUGUUGGACCAGGGCAUCCUAAUGGUGCAACCGCUAUUAAGGGUUCGUUUGUUCAACGAUUAAAGCCCUACGUGAUCUGAGUUCAGACCGGAGCAAUCCAGGUCAGUUUCUAUCUAUAAACUGUUCUUCUCUAGUACGAAAGGACCAAGAAGAAGAGGCCCAUACUUUAUGCAAACCUCACUUUAAAUUAAUGAACUCAACUCAAUUAAUAUAGAAGCACACCCGAACAACUAAAUACCAUAGAACA